This 497-nucleotide ribosomal RNA is filed under the name uncultured bacterium. Its description in RNAcentral is "partial 16S ribosomal RNA". It matches the Rfam family "Bacterial small subunit ribosomal RNA", at positions 28 to 507 of the family's 1533-position model. The record is from RNAcentral.
GAUGAACGCUGGCGGCGUGCCUAAUACAUGCAAGUCGAGCGAACGGACGAGAAGCUUGCUUCUCUGAUGUUAGCGGCGGACGGGUGAGUAACACGUGGAUAACCUACCUAUAAGACUGGGAUAACUUCGGGAAACCGGAGCUAAUACCGGAUAAUAUUUUGAACCGCAUGGUUCAAAAGUGAAAGACGGUCUUGCUGUCACUUAUAGAUGGAUCCGCGCUGCAUUAGCUAGUUGGUAAGGUAACGGCUUACCAAGGCAACGAUGCAUAGCCGACCUGAGAGGGUGAUCGGCCAAACUGGAACUGGGACACGGUCGAGACUCCUACGGGAGGCAGCAGUAGGGAAUCUUCCGCAAUGGGCGAAAGCCUGACGGAGCAACGCCGCGUGAGUGAUGAAGGUCUUCGGAUCGUAAAACUCUGUUAUUAGGGAAGAACAUAUGUGUAAGUAACUGUGCACAUCUUGACGGUACCUAAUCAGAAAGCCACGGCUAACUACGUG